GUGCACAAGGAGCGGUGGAAGAUCUGCAUUCCUCCUGGACCCAGCACUUACUGGGUGAGCAAACUGGGUCUCUUCCCCACCCAUGUUCCCAUAGUCCGAAGAGCAAGUUUUGGAGUGUGCAGCUGCCAGAGCUGCCACAGGAGCUCUCUGCUGCUGCAAGAGAUACACGAGCUCCGAGGUCUGGCACUGGCAGUACGGCACGCGUGGACCGGCGCCGGCGCGCACCUGGGCGCAGCUCAGAUCGCCCUGCAAAGCAUGCACCAGCAGACCUGGAAACCUCCAUGCCCAAGCAGCAGCUUCCCAUCGCUGUGCCAUGUCUCUGCCCUUCUGUGGGGGAUACACAAGGGGUGAACAGGCACGGGGGUUUUGGGGGAAGUGAACCCCAGCUUCUGUCCCGCGUUUCAACUUCCGUGGCCGACAUCAAACGCGUCGCUGCAGCCCGAGCCCCCACAGGCCUGACGGAGGAGCAAAAAGAGAGGGCUGGAGGCAGCAGAUCCUAAUCUUUAUUAAAUAAGAACAAAGCUUAUGCCGGCUAAUGAGAAAAACAAACUGAUGAAAGAUCCGGCGAGCUCCUCCGAAGGACACAAAGAAAUUC
This 595-nucleotide long non-coding RNA is filed under the name Gallus gallus (chicken). Its description in RNAcentral is "long non-coding RNA NONGGAT002169". Lineage: Eukaryota; Metazoa; Chordata; Aves; Galliformes; Phasianidae. The record is from RNAcentral.